AUGAACGCUAGCGGCAGGCUUAACACAUGCAAGUCGAGGGGCAGCAUAAUGAAGUAGCAAUACGGAAUUGAUGGCGACCGGCGCACGGGUGCGUAACGCGUAUGCAACCUACCCAUAACAGGGGGAUAACACUGAGAAAUUGGUACUAAUACCCCAUAAUACUUUGGAAGGCAUCUUUUGGAGUUGAAAGUUCAGGCGGUUAUGGAUGGGCAUGCGUUGUAUUAGCUAGAUGGUGGGGUAAUGGCUCACCAUGGCUACGAUACAUAGGGGGACUGAGAGGUUAACCCCCCACACUGGUACUGAGACACGGACCAGACUCCUACGGGAGGCAGCAGUGAGGAAUAUUGGUCAAUGGACGCAAGUCUGAACCAGCCAUGCCGCGUGCAGGAAGACGGCUCUAUGAGUUGUAAACUGCUUCUGUACAAGGGUAAACCCUGGGACGUGUCCCAGGCUGAAAGUACUGUACGAAUAAGGAUCGGCUAACUCCGUG
Molecule: ribosomal RNA, 490 nt
Filed under: uncultured bacterium
Lineage: Bacteria
Description: bacterial SSU rRNA
Rfam family: Bacterial small subunit ribosomal RNA
Source: RNAcentral